This 253-nucleotide ribosomal RNA is filed under the name uncultured bacterium. Its description in RNAcentral is "partial 16S ribosomal RNA". It matches the Rfam family "Bacterial small subunit ribosomal RNA", at positions 524 to 776 of the family's 1533-position model. The record is from RNAcentral.
UACGUAGGGUGCAAGCGUUGUCCGGAAUUAUUGGGAGUAAAGAGCUCGUAGGCGGUCUGUCGCGUCUGCUGUGAAAAUCCAGGGCUCAACCCUGGACCUGCAGUGGGUACGGGCAGACUAGAGUGCGGUAGGGGAGAUCGGAAUUCCUGGUAUAGCGGUGAAAUGCGCAGAUAUCAGGAGGAACACCGGUGGCGAAGGCGGAUCUCUGGGCCAUUACUGACGCUGAGGAGCGAAAGCGUGGGGAGCGAACAGG